RNAcentral lists this long non-coding RNA (1043 nucleotides) under Marmota monax (woodchuck). Lineage: Eukaryota; Metazoa; Chordata; Mammalia; Rodentia; Sciuridae. The record is from RNAcentral.
GGGAGUUCUGUGUGAUCAAAGGGAAAAGGGGAAAAUCAGGUUUGGGUCACGUGUGGGAUGAGCUGGUUUAUUGGUCUCUGGUGAUGGACAUAACAAAUUAUCCCGUUAUGGUUGAAAAUGGAAUAUCCCUCAAAAUCUCAUGUGUAAAAGGCCUGAUCCCCAAUGUCACCAUGUUCAGAGGCAGGGUUUUUAGGAGAUGAUUGGACCACAAGAACUGUAACCUCAUCAGGGGAUUCAUCCAUCUGAUUGGUUGAAUGCAUUAUUGGGAGACGGGUCUGAGCUAGAGGAAGUGGAUUACCGCUGCAUGCUCUGAAAGGAUUCAUCUUGUCUCUGUCCCCUUCCUCUGUGUCUCUCUGCUUCCAGCUGCUAUGAUCUGAGCUGCUUUUCUCGGACACACCCUUCCACCUCACCUCAGACGCAGAGUAAUGGAGUUGGCCAACCAUGGACUGAGACCUCUAAAACUGAGCCAAAAUAAACUUUUCCUUCUCCAAGUUGUUAAUGCACAUAUUUUUGUCACAGCAACAAAAAGCUGACUAGCACUUACCCCAAAUGGAGUUGCCUAAAGCAACACAAAUUUAAUGUCUUACUGCUCUGGAGUUCAGAAGACUGAAAUGGAUCUCACUGGGCUAAAAGGGAGGCGAGAACAGGGCUGGCUCCUUCUGGAGAUGCCAAGGAAGAGUCUGUUUCUGUCUCCCUGCCUGUUCCAGCACAGAGCACCCACAUCCCUCCACCUCUAGAGCCAGCAACACAGGGCGGAAGGACUCCUCUGACAGUGCCAUCCUCUGGCUUGGUCUCCAUCACGACAUCAUCUGGUGUGAACACACCCCCCACCUCCCUCUUUCACAUGAGGACCCCUGUGAUUACACUGGACCCGCCCAGAUAGUUCAGGACAAUCUUCCAUCUCAAAAUUAGCAGGUGAGUGACCUCAACCCCCCUCAUCAUGUGAUUUAACAUACUUGUGAGGCCAAGGGUCAGGCAGGGGACCUCUCUGGGGGACAUUAUUCUGCCUACCACACUUGACAGGUGGAUGCAGGUCAAAAGCG